GCAAGGUGGCGUCAUAGAGUUGGCAAGGAGGUCUAGGGUUCAAAACUCAUGGCAAUCAAAGAGUAUUUAUUUUGGCAACAGGGGGCAGCAAGAGUUGGUGUUGAAUUUAAACUCUGAUGUUGGAGGGAUCCCACAUUGGGAAGCUAACAUAAGAGGGGAUGCGAAGCUGGCUUUAAAUAAAGAGAACCAUGAGGAGAGUAAAGGUACCUUUCUUGGCUGAUCCCUUUCACUUUAUGGCGUGCUCGUUUGGGUUGGGCGUCGGCUAAGAGUGCUCGGAGCGUGGAUUAACUCCAGUCUCCAAUCAGGUAAUCCCUAAGCUUAGAUGGUUUGGAGCUGCGAGGGACUCGGAGAUGGCCACACUAUUAUUUCUGUUUCUUUUAAUUGCAAUUAGAUUUCGUUUUGGGUUUUUAAUUUAUGUAAUAAGGCUGUUCGUGGGUUUUAUGUUUUAAUUUGGAUUGUGAUUUCUUAUACUAAACUGCUAGUCUAGGAAAACUCGAGAUUUCAAAAUGGCAUUUUUUUCUAAGGAACACGAGCUUCCAACAACAAAGUUUUCAAAAUGCUUCCGCGAUUUUAAAUGAGGUAAUAUACCAAAGGCAAACAAAUUGGUAAAUGUUUUGAUGAGAACUUUAGUUUAAUAAUAAUAAAG
Molecule: long non-coding RNA, 646 nt
Filed under: Gossypium barbadense (sea-island cotton)
Lineage: Eukaryota; Viridiplantae; Streptophyta; Magnoliopsida; Malvales; Malvaceae
Description: long non-coding RNA (GBAR_LNC001698)
Source: RNAcentral